CAGCCGCCGCGGUAAUACGUAGGUGGCAAGCGUUGUCCGGAAUUAUUGGGCGUAAAGGGCUCGCAGGCGGUUUCUUAAGUCUGAUGUGAAAGCCCCCGGCUCAACCGGGGAGGGUCAUUGGAAACUGGGAAACUUGAGUGCAGAAGAGGAGAGUGGAAUUCCACAUGUAGCGGUGAAAUGCGUAGAGAUGUGGAGGAACACCAGUGGCGAAGGCGACUCUCUGGUCUGUAACUGACGCUGAGGAGCGAAAGCGUGGGGAGCGAACAGGAUUAGAGACCCCAGUAGUCCCUGUCUCUUAUAC
RNAcentral lists this ribosomal RNA (301 nucleotides) under uncultured bacterium. RNAcentral describes it as "partial 16S ribosomal RNA". It matches the Rfam family "Bacterial small subunit ribosomal RNA", at positions 509 to 807 of the family's 1533-position model. The record is from RNAcentral.